AGAAUCAACGCUGGCGGCGUGCCUCAGACAUGCAAGUCGAACGCGAAAGUCCCCUUCGGGGGGCAAGUAGAGUGGCGCACGGGUGAGUAACACGUAGGUAAUCUACCUUUGGAUGGGGAAUAACAACCGGAAACGGUUGCUAAUACCGCAUAAUGCAGCGGCACCUAAUGGUGACAGUUGUUAAAGCGGGGGAUCGAAAGACCUCGCGUCUGAAGAGGAGCCUGCGGCGGAUUAGCUAGUUGGUAGGGUAACGGCUACCAAGGCUACGAUCCGUAGCCGGCCUGAGACGGGCGUCGGCCACGACUGACACGUGACAUACGGGUCAGACUCCUACGGAGGCAGCAGUCGGGAAUUUUGGGCAAUGGGCGAAAGCCUGGACCCAGCAACGCCGCGUGAAGAUGAAAUCCCUCGGAUGUAACUCGACAAGAACGGAAGAAUAAGUAGGAACAACUACCCCUAUAGAUGAACGUACCGUUAGUA
Molecule: ribosomal RNA, 480 nt
Filed under: uncultured soil bacterium
Lineage: Bacteria
Description: bacterial SSU rRNA
Rfam family: Bacterial small subunit ribosomal RNA
Source: RNAcentral